RNAcentral lists this ribosomal RNA (401 nucleotides) under uncultured bacterium. Its description in RNAcentral is "bacterial SSU rRNA". It matches the Rfam family "Bacterial small subunit ribosomal RNA", at positions 355 to 773 of the family's 1533-position model. The record is from RNAcentral.
UGGGGAAUUUUGCGCAAUGGGGGAAACCCUGACGCAGCAACGCCGCGUGGAGGAUGAAGUCCCUUGGGAUGUAAACUCCUUUCGACCGGGACGAUAAUGACGGUACCGGUGGAAGAAGCCCCGGCUAACUCUGUGCCAGCAGCCGCGGUAAUACAGAGGGGGCAAGCGUUGUUCGGAAUUAUUGGGCGUAAAGGGUGCGUAGGCGGUGCGGUAAGUCUUCUGUGAAAUCUCCGGGCUCAACUCGGAGCCUGCAGGAGAAACUGCCGUGCUUGAGUAUGGGAGAGGUGAGUGGAAUUCCUGGUGUAGCGGUGAAAUGCGUAGAUAUCAGGAGGAACACCUGUGGCGAAAGCGGCUCACUGGACCAUAACUGACGCUGAGGCACGAAAGCUAGGGGAGCAAAC